This 253-nucleotide ribosomal RNA is filed under the name uncultured bacterium. RNAcentral's name for it is "partial 16S ribosomal RNA". It matches the Rfam family "Bacterial small subunit ribosomal RNA", at positions 524 to 776 of the family's 1533-position model. The record is from RNAcentral.
UACGUAGGGGGCAAGCGUUGUCCGGAAUCAUUGGGCGUAAAGCGCGUGUAGGCGGCUCGGUAAGUCCGCUCUGAAAGUCCAGGGCUCAACCCUGGGAUGCGGGUGGAUACUGCCGGGCUCGAGUCCGGAAGAGGCGAGUGGAAUUCCCGGUGUAGCGGUGAAAUGCGUAGAUAUCGUAAGGAAGACCAGUGGCGAAGGCGGGUCUCUGGACAGUUCCUGACGCUGAGGCACGAAGGUCAGGGGAGCAAACGGG